CCUACGGGAGGCAGCAGUGAGGAAUAUUGGUCAAUGGACGAGAGUCUGAACCAGCCAAGUAGCGUGAAGGAUGACUGCCCUAUGGGUUGUAAACUUCUUUUAUAUGGGAAUAAAAUGUUCCACGUGUGGGCUUUUGUAUGUACCAUAUGAAUAAGGAUCGGCUAACUCCGUGCCAGCAGCCGCGGUAAUACGGAGGAUCCGAGCGUUAUCCGGCUUUAUUGGGUUUAAAGGGAGCGUAGGUGGAUUGUUAAGUCAGUUGUGAAAGUUUGCGGCUCAACCGUAAAAUUGCAGUUGAAACUGGCAGUCUUGAGUACAGUAGAGGUGGGCGGAAUUCGUGGUGUAGCGGUGAAAUGCUUAGAUAUCACGAAGAACUCCGAUUGCGAAGGCAGCUCACUGGACUGCAACUGACACUGAGGCUCGAAAGUGUGGGUAUCAAACAGGAUUAGAUACCCUUGUAGUC
RNAcentral lists this ribosomal RNA (460 nucleotides) under uncultured bacterium. RNAcentral's name for it is "partial 16S ribosomal RNA". It matches the Rfam family "Bacterial small subunit ribosomal RNA", at positions 338 to 795 of the family's 1533-position model. The record is from RNAcentral.